This 73-nucleotide transfer RNA is filed under the name Hypoxylon rubiginosum. RNAcentral describes it as "tRNA-OTHER". It matches the Rfam family "tRNA". From Rfam's summary of the family: Transfer RNA (tRNA) molecules are approximately 80 nucleotides in length. Their secondary structure includes four short double-helical elements and three loops (D, anti-codon, and T loops). Lineage: Eukaryota; Fungi; Ascomycota; Sordariomycetes; Xylariales; Hypoxylaceae. The record is from RNAcentral.
CCCGAUAUGGUGUAAUGGUAACAUUCCCUCGCCUGUAUAGAGGGAGCUUGGGGUUCGAUUCCUCGUAUCGGAA